RNAcentral lists this ribosomal RNA (207 nucleotides) under uncultured bacterium. RNAcentral describes it as "partial 16S ribosomal RNA". It matches the Rfam family "Bacterial small subunit ribosomal RNA", at positions 568 to 774 of the family's 1533-position model. The record is from RNAcentral.
CGCGCAGGUGGUUUCUUAAGUCUGAUGUGAAAGCCCACGGCUCAACCGUGGAGGGUCAUUGGAAACUGGGAGACUUGAGUGCAGAAGAGGAUAGUGGAAUUCCAAGUGUAGCGGUGAAAUGCGUAGAGAUUUGGAGGAACACCAGUGGCGAAGGCGACUGUCUGGUCUGUAACUGACACUGAGGCGCGAAAGCGUGGGGAGCAAGCA